AGAGGGUGAUCGGCCACACUGGGACUGAGACACGGCCCAGACUCCUACGGGAGGCAGCAGUAGGGAAUCUUCCGCAAUGGACGAAAGUCUGACGGAGCAACGCCGCGUGAGUGAUGAAGGUUUUCGGAUCGUAAAACUCUGUUGUUAGGGAAGAACAAGUAUCGUUCGAAUAGGGCGGUACCUUGACGGUACCUAACCAGAAAGCCACGGCUAACUACGUGCCAGCAGCCGCGGUAAUACGUAGGUGGCAAGCGUUGUCCGGAAUUAUUGGGCGUAAAGCGCGCGCAGGCGGUUUCUUAAGUCUGAUGUGAAAUCUUGCGGCUCAACCGCAAGCGGCCAUUGGAAACUGGGAGACUUGAGUGCAGAAGAGGAGAGUGGAAUUCCACGUGUAGCGGUGAAAUGCGUAGAGAUGUGGAGGAACACCAGUGGCGAAGGCGACUCUCUGGUCUGUAACUGACGCUGAGGCGCGAAAGCGUGGGGAGCGAACAGGAUUAGAUACCCUGGUAGUCCACGCCGUAAACGAUGAGUGCUAAGUGUUAGAGGGUUUCC
Molecule: ribosomal RNA, 549 nt
Filed under: Caryophanales bacterium
Lineage: Bacteria; Bacillati; Bacillota; Bacilli; Caryophanales
Description: bacterial SSU rRNA
Rfam family: Bacterial small subunit ribosomal RNA
Source: RNAcentral